Molecule: long non-coding RNA, 250 nt
Filed under: Ananas comosus (pineapple)
Lineage: Eukaryota; Viridiplantae; Streptophyta; Magnoliopsida; Poales; Bromeliaceae
Description: long non-coding RNA (ACOM_LNC012228)
Source: RNAcentral
UAUUUUGGGUAUCAAAGUGUAGUGUCCCUGGUGUUCUGCAGCCCGUGUAUUUCAGCAUCUGAGGCUUGUCGACAAAUCUGGAGAGUGUCGAGACAAGUCGAAGUCGUUUUGGGCAAAUUGGAUGCAAAACGGACUCAGUGCGAUGCGAGAGCAGAGUUUUGACAUUGGAAUCUGUAAAGUACAAGAUUUCAGUGUUGAGUACCGAUACCAGGGAGAGGAGUACUGGUACCCCAGUGGAAUUUCAUAACUG